AACGAGACCUUAACCUGCUAAAUAGCCCGUAUUGCUUUGGCAGUACGCUGGCUUCUUAGAGGGACUAUCCGCUCAAGCGGAUGGAAGUUUGAGGCAAUAACAGGUCUGUGAUGCCCUUAGAUGUUCUGGGCCGCCCCCGUGUGAAGCUCUUUCGAC
This 156-nucleotide ribosomal RNA is filed under the name Diatrypaceae sp. RNAcentral's name for it is "partial large subunit ribosomal RNA". It matches the Rfam family "Eukaryotic small subunit ribosomal RNA", at positions 1334 to 1497 of the family's 1831-position model. Lineage: Eukaryota; Fungi; Ascomycota; Sordariomycetes; Xylariales; Diatrypaceae. The record is from RNAcentral.